AUCCACCUGACGAGUCCCAACUAGGAAGAAAUGCGCAUCCUGGAU
Molecule: non-coding RNA, 45 nt
Organism: Trichobilharzia regenti
Lineage: Eukaryota; Metazoa; Platyhelminthes; Trematoda; Strigeidida; Schistosomatidae
Source: Rfam